RNAcentral lists this long non-coding RNA (692 nucleotides) under Homo sapiens (human). RNAcentral's name for it is "HSALNT0152307". The record is from RNAcentral. Lineage: Eukaryota; Metazoa; Chordata; Mammalia; Primates; Hominidae.
GGGAGGAUGACCAGAGGUGGGGAUGGAGCGAUGACCACUUUACUGGUUAAAGCUCAGGAAGACUAUGAAACUUGGCCAUUCAGAGUUCCUGAAGCCAGGUCCUUCCAGACUCAAACAGGAAAAGAGAUUUAGGUACAACAAUAACAACAACAACAACAACAAAAGAGAUUCAGGAACAAACAAACAAACAACUCAGCUGCAGGCUUUGUGUUUCAGAAUGUGAAAGUGACUUCUUCUGGCCCCCACCUAUUGUGGCAACACCUUUCCUUUCAGAUCUUGGCUUGAUAGGCUCUUCCCAGAACCUGAGCUUGCACUUCCCCUGCCGCCUUGCAAACAGCUCCCAGACUACUCGCCUGCUUUUCCUGAGGAGCCAGAAAACCUACCCAACCUUGACCGCCUGGAAUGAAUGAAUCAUCAGUCUGUGACUGCGGCCCUUAAUCCCUUCCAGCCUUGGGGUUACUCCUACGUCUUUCAACCUAGUGACCCUACAGUAACUUUCCUGCGCUGGUCCCAGCAGCCAAGUGACUUACGUGACUGCAUUUAAUCCUCUCCAUUUGAAAGGACAGGAAGUGAAGGUCUGACUUCUGUGGAAAGGGAGGCCUGAGGGACCUGGUUUCCAGCUAUGUCUCUACCAUACAGAGUUGUGAAAGAAGGUAGAAUGCACCUACACCAGUCAAGAGGGGAAAGGAGGG